This 117-nucleotide non-coding RNA is filed under the name Gorilla gorilla gorilla (western lowland gorilla). Lineage: Eukaryota; Metazoa; Chordata; Mammalia; Primates; Hominidae. The record is from Rfam by way of RNAcentral.
GCUGGGCGUGGUGGCUCACGCCUGUAAUCCCAGCACUUUGGGAGGCCGAGGCAGGUGGAUCACCUGAGGUCAGGAGUUUGAGACCAGCCUGGCCAACAUGGUGAAACCCCGUCUCUA